This 650-nucleotide non-coding RNA is filed under the name Caenispirillum salinarum AK4. RNAcentral describes it as "Bacterial large subunit ribosomal RNA". It matches the Rfam family "Bacterial large subunit ribosomal RNA", at positions 2263 to 2925 of the family's 2925-position model. Lineage: Bacteria; Pseudomonadati; Pseudomonadota; Alphaproteobacteria; Rhodospirillales; Novispirillaceae. The record is from Rfam by way of RNAcentral.
GGGUAGUUUGACUGGGGCGGUCGCCUCCCAAAGAGUAACGGAGGCGCGCGAUGGUGGGCUCAGGCCGGUCGGAAAUCGGUCGUCGAGUGCAAGAGCAGAAGCCCGCCUGACUGCGACAUCGACGGAUGGAGCAGAGACGAAAGUCGGUUCUAGUGAUCCGGUGGUCCCGCGUGGAAGGGCCAUCGCUCAACGGAUAAAAGGUACUCCGGGGAUAACAGGCUGAUACCGCCCAAGAGUCCACAUCGACGGCGGUGUUUGGCACCUCGAUGUCGGCUCAUCACAUCCUGGGGCUGGAGCAGGUCCCAAGGGUACGGCUGUUCGCCGUUUAAAGUGGUACGUGAGCUGGGUUUAGAACGUCGUGAGACAGUUCGGUCCCUAUCUGCCGUGGGUGUAGGAUGUUUGAGAGGAUCUGUCCCUAGUACGAGAGGACCGGGAUGGACGUACCUCUGGUGUACCAGUUGUCGCGCCAGCGGCACCGCUGGGUAGCUAUGUACGGACGGGAUAACCGCUGAAAGCAUCUAAGCGGGAAACCCACCUCAAAACGAGACAUCCCUGAGAGCCGUGAAAGACCAUCACGUCGAUAGGCCGGGUGUGGACGCGCAGCAAUGCGUGCAGCUAACCGGUACUAAUCGCUCGAUCGGCUUCAAGUC